ACCAGUCCUAGCCCAUGCAACCUUAACUACACAUAACUACGUAUUCUACUUAAAUAAAACAUUUACCCCUACAAAAGUAUAGGCGAUAGAAAUUUUAACCUUGGAGCUAUAGAGCUAGUACCGCAAGGGAAAGAUGAAAGAAAUAACUUAUAGUACAACAAAGCAAAGACUAACUCUUUUACCUUUUGCAUAAUGAAUUAACUAGAAAUCACUUCGCAAAAAGAAUUUAAGUCAAGAACCCCGAAACCAGACGAGCUACUUAUGGGCAGCAUUAAGAGCUAAUCCGUCUAUGUGGCAAAAUAGUGGAAAGACCUAUAAGUAGUGGUGAAAAGCCUAUCGAGCCUGGUGAUAGCUGGUUAUCCAGAUAAGAAUUUUAGUUCAACUUUAAAUUUACUUCAAGAACCCAUAAUCUAAACGUAAAUUUAAUUGUUACUCUAAAGAGGGACAGCUCUUUAGAUACAGGAAAAAACCUUAAUUAGUGAGUAAACUAAACAAACUCCAUAGUUGGCUUAAAAGCAGCCAUCAAUUAAAAAAGCGUUCAAGCUUAACCAAUCAAACCCAACUCAAUCUAAAUAUUAAAAUCACCUCCUAAUUUUAUACUGGAUUAAUCUAUAAACAUCAAUAGAAGCAAUAAUGUUAAUAUGAGUAACAAGAAAAACAUUUCUCCCUGCAUAAGUUUAUAUCAGCCCGAAUAUAUCACUGAUAGUUAACAAACUUAUAAUUCAACCCACCAAUAUCAACCUUUAUUACACAUAAUGUUAAUCCAACACCGGCAUGCACUUAAGGGAAAGAUUAAAAAAAGUAAAAGGAACUCGGCAAACACUAACCCCGCCUGUUUACCAAAAACAUCACCUCUAGCAUAAACAGUAUUAGAGGCACUGCCUGCCCAGUGACACACGUUAAACGGCCGCGGUAUCCUGACCGUGCAAAGGUAGCAUAAUCAUUUGUUCUUUAAAUAGGGACUUGUAUGAACGGCUAAACGAGGGUUAAUCUGUCUCUUACUUUUAAUCAGUGAAAUUGACCUCCCCGUGAAGAGGCGGGGAUAGACAAAUAAGACGAGAAGACCCUAUGGAGCUUAAAUUUAUUAAUUCAAGCAAACACUCAUAAAACCUAUAAGGCAUAAAACCUAUAAGGCACAACCUCUCUUGCCCUUGAGUUAAAAAUUUUGGUUGGGGUGACCUCGGAGCAUAAAUUAACCUCCGAAUGAUCUUAAUUCAGACCCAGACCCGUCUAAAUUUAUAUUCAUAAAUUGACCCAAGCUUUUGAUCAACGGAACAAGUUACCCUAGGGAUAACAGCGCAAUCCUACCCAAGAGUCCAUAUCGACAGUAGGGUUUACGACCUCGAUGUUGGAUCAGGACAUCCAAAUGGUGCAACCGCUAUUAAUGGUUCGUUUGUUCAACGAUUAAAGUCCUACGUGAUCUGAGUUCAGACCGGAGAAAUCCAGGUCGGUUUCUAUCUAUUUUAUAUUUCUCCCAGUACGAAAGGACAAGAGAAAUGAGGCCAAUACCCACAACAUGCCUUACAGACAAUAGAUGAUAUAAUCUCAAUCUAAUAAUCUAUAUACAUACAUCAACCCAAGAGCAGGGUUA
This 1591-nucleotide ribosomal RNA is filed under the name Callosciurus notatus (plantain squirrel). RNAcentral describes it as "16S ribosomal RNA". It matches the Rfam family "Bacterial large subunit ribosomal RNA". The record is from RNAcentral. Lineage: Eukaryota; Metazoa; Chordata; Mammalia; Rodentia; Sciuridae.